GACGUAGGGGGGCCAGCGUUGUUCGGAAUUACUGGGUGUAAAGGGUUCGUAGGCGGUGUAGCAAGUCGGGAGUGAAAUCUCUGGGCUUAACCCAGAGGCUGCUUCCGAAACUGCUGUGCUUGAGUGUGGGAGAGGCGCGUGGAAUUGCAGGUGUAGCGGUGAAAUGCGUAGAUAUCUGCAGGAACACCCGUGGCGAAAGCGGCGCGCUGGACCACUACUGACGCUGAGGAACGAAAGCUAGGGGAGCAAACAGG
This 254-nucleotide ribosomal RNA is filed under the name uncultured bacterium. Its description in RNAcentral is "partial 16S ribosomal RNA". It matches the Rfam family "Bacterial small subunit ribosomal RNA", at positions 524 to 776 of the family's 1533-position model. The record is from RNAcentral.